RNAcentral lists this ribosomal RNA (285 nucleotides) under uncultured bacterium. RNAcentral's name for it is "partial 16S ribosomal RNA". It matches the Rfam family "Bacterial small subunit ribosomal RNA", at positions 773 to 1060 of the family's 1533-position model. The record is from RNAcentral.
GUGGAUUAGAUACCCUGGUAGUCCACGCCGUAAACGAUGAGCACUAGGUGUCGGGGUCGCAAGACUUCGGUGCCGUAGUUAACGCAUUAAGUGCUCCGCCUGGGGAGUACGUUCGCAAGAAUGAAACUCAAAGGAAUUGACGGGGACCCGCACAAGCAGCGGAGCAUGUGGUUUAAUUCGAAGCAACGCGAAGAACCUUACCAGGACUUGACAUCCUUCUGACAGGACCUUAACCGGUCCCUCCUUCGGGCAGAAGAGACAGGUGGUGCACGGCCGUCGACAGCU